AGGGCCCAAGCCAGCCAGGAAGGAGGAGGCAGCCUGAGUGUUCUCUGCAGCAGAAGACCCCUUGCUGCCCUGCUCAACCCAGACCAGCAUUUGCCAGCUGCUGAGUCUCAGCCCAAGUGCCUCAGGGAGCAGCACCUGGCCAGACUCCAGCAGAAGAGACUGAGGGAAGACACUGGAAGGUCCAGAUAAACACACGAUUAUGAGGAUUAACAUCUACAAGUGACUGUUGAAUUCCACUGUUCUCCAAGCCAGAAACACCAUCCCUUUAAUUUAUGAGCUACAGAAGAAGCAUUUCAAGAGACUUAGGAUCAGAAGAUCAAGCAAGUAGGGAUGCACCAAACCAGAACUGCAGGAGAUGUGUCUCCCCCUCUCCGCAUUGACACAACGAAGAAAUGCAAGAUAAUAUAGGAGCAUCAAGCCAACACUACAGAUAGAACCAUCCAAAUGAAAUAUGCUUCACUUACCUAGGUACCUAGGAAGCUGCCUUAUCCUGAGUCAGACCUUGAUCUUUCUAACUCAGUAUUGUAUACCCUGGCUGGCAGCAGCUCUCCAGGAUUUUGGGCAAAGAUAUUUCGAGCAAAGACAUAAUUACAUAAAAUUAUGUUUUAUAUUGUU
This is a long non-coding RNA of Hemicordylus capensis (graceful crag lizard), 615 nucleotides long. RefSeq lists it as uncharacterized. Lineage: Eukaryota; Metazoa; Chordata; Lepidosauria; Squamata; Cordylidae. The transcript has 4 exons. The record is from RefSeq and is a predicted model, not a curated record.